UACGUAGGUGGCGAGCGUUGUCCGGAUUUAUUGGGUUUAAAGGGUGCGUAGGCGGCCAAAUAAGUCAGUGCUGAAAUAUCCCGGCUUAACCGGGAGGGUGGCAUUGAUACUGUAUGGCUUGAGUAAAGUUGAGGUUGGCGGAAUUGACGGUGUAGCGGUGAAAUGCUUAGAUAUCGUCAAGAACACCGAUAGUGAAGACAGCUAACUAAGCUUUAACUGACGCUGAGGCACGAAAGUGUGGGGAUCAAACAGG
Molecule: ribosomal RNA, 253 nt
Filed under: uncultured bacterium
Lineage: Bacteria
Description: partial 16S ribosomal RNA
Rfam family: Bacterial small subunit ribosomal RNA
Source: RNAcentral